This 229-nucleotide ribosomal RNA is filed under the name uncultured bacterium. RNAcentral's name for it is "partial 16S ribosomal RNA". It matches the Rfam family "Bacterial small subunit ribosomal RNA", at positions 568 to 796 of the family's 1533-position model. The record is from RNAcentral.
CAUGUAGGCGGCAUGACAAGUCUGGUGUGAAAUAUCUCGGCUCAACCGAGAAAACGCACUGGAAACUGUCAUGCUUGAGUAUCGGAGGGGAAGCUAGAAUUCCUGGUGUAGGGGUGAAAUCUGUAGAUAUCAGGAAGAAUACCGGUGGCGAAGGCGAGCUUCUGGCCAGAUACUGACGCUGAGAUGCGAAAGCGUGGGGAGCGAACAGGAUUAGAUACCCUGGUAGUCC